UGCAGUCGAGCGGAACGAUGAUAGCUUGCUAUCAGGCGUCGAGCGGCGGACGGGUGAGUAAUGCUUAGGAAUCUGCCCAGUAGUGGGGGACAACAGUCGGAAACGGCUGCUAAUACCGCAUACGCCCUACGGGGGAAAGCAGGGGAUCUUCGGACCUUGCGCUAUUGGAUGAGCCUAAGUCGGAUUAGCUAGUUGGUGAGGUAAAGGCUCACCAAGGCGACGAUCCGUAGCUGGUUUGAGAGGAUGAUCAGCCACAUCGGGACUGAGACACGGCCCGAACUCCUACGGGAGGCAGCAGUGGGGAAUAUUGGACAAUGGGGGCAACCCUGAUCCAGCCAUGCCGCGUGUGUGAAGAAGGCUUUCGGGUUGUAAAGCACUUUCAGCGAGGAGGAAGGCUCUAAAGUUAAUACCUUUAGGGAUUGACGUUACUCGCAGAAGAAGCACCGGCUAACUCCGUGCCAGCAGCCGCGGUAAUACGGAGGGUGCAAGCGUUAAUCGGAAUUACUGGGCGUAAAGCGCGCGUAGGUGGUUGAGUAAGCGAGAUGUGAAAGCCCCGGGCUUAACCUGGGAACGGCAUUUCGAACUGCUCGGCUAGAGUGUGGUAGAGGGUAGUGGAAUUUCCUGUGUAGCGGUGAAAUGCGUAGAUAUAGGAAGGAACACCAGUGGCG
This 668-nucleotide ribosomal RNA is filed under the name bacterium SCSIO13189. Its description in RNAcentral is "bacterial SSU rRNA". It matches the Rfam family "Bacterial small subunit ribosomal RNA", at positions 56 to 717 of the family's 1533-position model. The record is from RNAcentral.